RNA transcript from Mus musculus (house mouse), 9297 nucleotides. It is a transcript of the gene named kinesin family member 21B, with no coding region annotated. NCBI's taxonomy places the organism in Eukaryota, Metazoa, Chordata, Mammalia, Rodentia, Muridae. The record is from RefSeq and is marked validated. The transcript is spliced from 36 exons.
GUUCGCGCUGCGGCGGGAGGUGGCGGUCCGGGUGGGAGGUGUGUGCGCGCGCGUGUGCCGCGCUGUAGGGAGCUGCGGGUCUCACUGCCCGCUGUCAACGAGCUCAGCACCUCCGCGCGAUGGCUGGAGGAGACGCAUGGGACCAGCCCCGUGGGGCCGGCCGCGGCUGAGCCCCUCUGCCGCCUCCUGCGAGCAUGUCACCUCCAGCCUACGAGGUCGCUUUCGCUAGCAGGGUCCCUGCCUCCGCCUUCUGCAGCCGCAGCCGCUGCCUGGAGCAGUGGCCCCCGGACCCCCGCCCCUGAUCCGCGCCCAGACCCUGGUGCCGGAGGACCAUGGCUGGCCAGGGCGACUGCUGCGUCAAAGUGGCCGUCAGGAUCCGGCCCCAGCUGUCAAAGGAGAAGAUUGAAGGCUGUCACAUCUGUACCUCCGUUACCCCGGGAGAGCCCCAGGUCCUGCUGGGGAAGGACAAGGCCUUCACCUAUGACUUUGUCUUUGACCUGGACACCUGGCAGGAGCAAAUCUAUUCGACCUGUGUGAGCAAACUCAUCGAAGGCUGCUUUGAGGGCUAUAAUGCCACAGUCCUAGCCUAUGGACAGACAGGGGCUGGGAAGACAUAUACUAUGGGCACCGGCUUUGACACAGUGACAUCAGAAGAGGAGCAGGGCAUCAUCCCAAGGGCCAUUGCACAUCUCUUCAGGGGCAUCGACGAACGCAAGCGGCGGGCACAAGAGAAGGGUGUGACUGGGCCUGAGUUCAAAGUCAGUGCUCAAUUCCUGGAGCUCUACAAUGAAGAGAUCCUUGACCUAUUUGACAGCACCCGUGACCCCGAUGCCCGACACCGCAGGUCCAACAUCAAGAUCCACGAGGAUGCCAACGGUGGCAUCUACACCACAGGUGUCACUUCUCGCCUGAUCAACUCCCAGGAGGAGCUGAUCCAGUGCCUGAAGCAGGGCGCCCUGUCACGUACCACAGCCAGCACCCAGAUGAAUGUACAGAGCUCCCGAUCCCAUGCCAUCUUCACCAUCCACCUGUGCCAGAUGCGCGUGUGUGCCCAGCCUGACCUGGUGAAUGAGACCGUGACUGGGCUUCCAGAUGGAGCCGCCCCCACAGGCACUGAGUACGAGACUCUCACUGCUAAGUUUCACUUCGUGGACUUGGCUGGCUCAGAGCGGCUGAAGCGGACAGGGGCCACCGGCGAACGGGCCAAAGAGGGCAUCUCCAUCAACUGUGGUCUGCUGGCCUUGGGCAAUGUGAUCAGCGCCUUGGGGGACCAGAGCAAGAAGGUCGUGCACGUGCCUUACAGGGACUCCAAGCUCACUCGGCUGCUCCAGGACUCUCUUGGAGGCAACAGCCAGACCAUCAUGAUCGCCUGUGUGAGCCCCUCGGAUCGGGACUUCAUGGAGACACUUAACACUCUCAAAUAUGCCAACCGGGCCCGCAACAUCAAAAACAAAGUGGUGGUGAACCAGGACAAGACCAGCCAGCAGAUCAGCGCGCUGCGGGCUGAGAUCGCACGCCUGCAGAUGGAGUUGAUGGAGUACAAAGCGGGCAAGCGAGUGAUUGGGGAGGACGGUACAGAGGGCUACAGUGACCUGUUCCGAGAGAACGCCAUGCUGCAGAAGGAGAAUGGGGCGCUGCGGCUCCGAGUGAAGGCCAUGCAGGAAGCCAUUGAUGCCAUCAACAACCGGGUCACACAACUCAUGAGCCAGGAGGCCAACCUGCUUCUGGCCAAGGCUGGUGAUGGCAAUGAGGCCAUUGGUGCUCUGAUCCAGAACUACAUCCGGGAGAUCGAGGAGCUGCGAACAAAGCUCCUGGAGAGUGAGGCUAUGAAUGAGUCCCUCCGCAGAAGCCUCUCCCGGGCUUCCGCUCGGAAUCCCUACUCCCUGGGAGCAUCUCCAGCAGGUCCAGCCUUUGGGGGCAGCCCCGCCACCUCCAUGGAAGAUGCUUCUGAAGUGAUCCGCAAGGCUAAGCAAGACCUGGAGCGGCUGAAAAAGAAGGAGGUCAGGCAGCGGAGGAAGAGCCCAGAGAAAGAAGCGUUCAAGAAGAGGGCAAAACUCCAGGCAGAAAACAGUGAGGAGACAGACGAGAACGAGGCUGAGGAGGAGGAGGAAGAGCGAGAUGAAAGUGGCUGUGAGGAGGAGGAAGGUCGUGAGGAUGAGGAUGAAGACUCGGGCAGUGAAGAGAGCCUGGUAGACUCAGACUCCGACCCUGAAGAAAAGGAAGUGAACUUCCAGGCCGACCUGGCAGACCUGACGUGUGAGAUCGAGAUCAAGCAGAAGCUGAUCGACGAGCUGGAGAACAGCCAGCGGCGGCUGCAGACGCUCAAGCACCAGUACGAGGAGAAGCUAAUUCUGCUGCAGAACAAGAUCCGGGAUACGCAGCUGGAGCGUGACCGCGUGCUGCAGAACCUCAGCACUAUGGAGUGCUACACGGAAGAGAAGGCCAACAAGAUAAAGGCAGAUUAUGAGAAGAGACUGCGGGAGAUGAACCGGGACCUGCAGAAGCUACAGGCUGCUCAAAAAGAACAUGCCAGGCUACUCAAGAACCAGUCUCGCUAUGAAAGGGAGCUGAAGAAGCUACAAGCGGAGGUAGCUGAGAUGAAGAAGGCCAAGGUAGCCCUCAUGAAGCAAAUGCGUGAGGAGCAGCAGCGGCGGCGACUGGUGGAGACCAAGAGGAACCGGGAGAUUGCUCAGCUCAAGAAGGAGCAACGGAGGCAGGAGUUUCAGAUACGAGCCCUGGAAUCUCAGAAGCGCCAGCAGGAAAUAGUUCUGAGGAGGAAAACCCAGGAGGUUUCUGCACUGAGGCGCCUGGCAAAGCCCAUGUCUGAGCGAGUGGCUGGGCGUGUAGGAUUGAAGCCCCCCAAUAUGGAUUCUGGGGCUGAGGUGUCUGCCAGCACCACCUCGUCUGAGGCUGAGUCGGGAGCCCGCUCCGUCUCCAGCAUAGUGCGUCAGUGGAACCGGAAGAUCGACCACUUCCUGGGAGACCGCCCCACCGCCACUGUCAAUGGCGGCCGCCCAGCCAGGAAAAAGUUCCAAAAGAAGGGAGCCAGCCAAAGCUUCAGUAAGGCUGCGAGACUCAAAUGGCAGUCCCUGGAACGGAGGAUCAUUGACAUUGUCAUGCAGAGAAUGACCAUCGUCAACCUGGAGGCUGAUAUGGAGCGUCUCAUAAAGAAAAGGGAGGAGCUCUUCCUCCUGCAGGAGGCGCUGCGGAGGAAGCGGGAGCACCUGCAGGCUGAGAGCCCAGAGGAGGAGAAGGGGCUCCAGGAGCUGGCUGAGGAGAUCGAAGUGUUGGCAGCCAAUAUUGACUACAUCAACGACAGCAUCACUGACUGCCAAGCCACCAUCGUGCAGCUGGAGGAAACCAAGGAGGAGCUGGACUCAACAGACACGUCAGUGGUCAUUAGCUCCUGCUCUCUGGCUGAAGCCCGCCUCCUGCUAGACAACUUCCUCAAGGCGUCCAUUGACAAGGGACUUCAAGUAGCACAGAAGGAAGCCCAGAUCCGGCUGCUAGAAGGACGCCUUAGACAGACAGACAUGACAGGCUCUUCCCAGAACCACCUGCUCCUAGACGCUUUGCGUGAGAAGGCCGAGGCACACCCCGAGCUGCAGGCCCUCAUCUACAAUGUGCAGCAUGAGAAUGGCUAUGCAAGCACAGAUGAGGAAGUUUCUGAGUUCUCUGAGGGGAGCUUUUCCCAGUCAUUUACCAUGAAAGGCUCCACCAGCCACGAUGACUUCAAGUUCAAGGGUGAGCCCAAGCUAUCCGCACAGAUGAAGGCCGUGUCUGCGGAGUGCCUAGGACCCCCAUUGGACAGCUCUACCAAGAACAUCACCAAGUCCCUGGCCUCCCUCGUUGAGAUCAAAGAGGAUGGGGUGGGCUUCUCUAUCCGGGACCCCUACUACCGGGACAAGGUCUCACGCACCGUCAGCCUGCCCACCCGGGGCAGCACUUUCCCUCGGCAAUCUCGAGGUGCCACGGACACGUCUCCUCUUACCCGAAGGAAGUCUUAUGACCGGGGACAGCCCAUCAGAUCCACAGACAUGGGAUUCACACCUCCCUCAUCACCUCCCACUCGGCCCCGCAACGACCGCAACGUCUUCUCUCGUCUCACCAGCAAUCAGAGCCAGGGCUCAGCACUGGACAAGUCUGAUGACAGCGACUCCUCUUUGUCGGAGGUCCUGAGGGGCAUCAUCACCCCCAUUGGCGGAGCUAAGGGAGCGCGGACGGCCCCGCUGCAGUGCAUCUCCAUGGCCGAGGGUCACACCAAGCCCAUCCUCUGCCUGGAUGCCACCGAUGAGCUGCUUUUCACGGGAUCCAAAGACCGUAGCUGCAAGAUGUGGAACCUGGUGACAGGGCAGGAGAUUGCAGCUCUCAAGGGUCACCCCAACAACGUGGUUUCUAUCAAAUACUGCAGCCACUCGGGGCUGGUGUUCUCUGUGUCCAGCUCCUACAUCAAGGUGUGGGAUAUCCGGGACUCAGCCAAGUGCAUUCGGACACUCACGUCCUCAGGCCAGGUGAUCUCAGGAGAUGCGUGCAUAGCCACAUCCACCCGCGCCAUCACCAGUGCCCAGGGGGAACAUCAGAUCAACCAGAUGGCCCUCAGCCCCUCAGGCUCCAUGCUAUACGUUGCCUCUGGCAAUGCUGUCCGCAUCUGGGAGCUCAACAGGUUCCAGCCCAUUGGCAAACUGACUGGCCACAUUGGCCCAGUGAUGUGCCUAACAGUCACCCAGACUUCAAACCAGCAUGACCUCGUGGUGACGGGCUCCAAGGACCACUAUGUGAAGAUGUUCCAGCUGGGCGACUGUGUGACGGGCACCAUUGGCCCAACCCACAACUUUGAGCCCCCUCACUAUGAUGGUAUUGAAUGCCUGGCUAUCCAAGGAGACAUACUCUUCAGUGGCUCCAGAGACAAUGGCAUCAAGAAGUGGGACCUGGACCAGCAGGAGCUCAUCCAGCAAAUCCCCAACGCUCACAAGGACUGGGUGUGCGCCCUGGCCUUUGUACCCGGCCGGCCCAUGCUGCUGAGCGCCUGCCGGGCCGGCUUCAUCAAGGUCUGGAAUGUGGACAACUUCACACCCAUUGGUGAGAUCAAGGGCCACGACAGCCCCAUCAAUGCCAUCUGCACCAACAGCAAGCACAUCUUCACGGCCUCCAGUGACUGCCGGGUAAAGCUGUGGAAUUACGUCCCUGGACUCACCCCCUGCCUUCCUCGACGAGUCCUGGCCAUAAAGGGCCGCGCCACCACCCUGCCCUGACCUUCCCCCUCCCCCUCUCACUCUUCCCAUCUUGCCUUUUCCUGUCUUUCCCCCACCUCGAUCUGAGCUGCUUCUUCACGUGACCUGACAGUGAAGUUCUGGAGCAUACGGCGGCUACCAGCAGCCCACCCUUGAAGUUAGGACUAAAGGUGGCUAGACCGUCAGAUCAGACCCAGCAGCCUACCCAGCACGGAAAGGAAGCUGUGGCCCGACCUUACCGGAACAGCCAAGUUCACCGGAGUACAGAGGGUGUGGCUCUUCUCUCGCUCUGCUUCCUCCACCACCCCUUCUGUCCCUCCCCUGCCUCCUAAGAAAGACGAGGUGGAGGAGGGACACAAGCUGUGAAGCCAAAGGGCACGAUUCCCCAAGCUGCUGCUCCACCUGUUCCCAAGCCUUCCUCUCAACUGGCCACAUUGUCUCCUGCUGAGCCAGCCCUGCCCCUCCCCCAGGCCCUCAGCCUCGGUUGAGACCGAGGGAGAAGCAGGGAGAAGCCCCCAUCUAUCUUCCAGUGAGCUAGCCUCCUCUGUGUCUCCUAGCCCCACCUCCGGAGCCGCUUCACCUGCCUCUGAGCCCACCAAGGUAGUUCUCAGGUAACCAUGGAAACCAGAUGUAAGCAGCUGAGUCCUGCCGCUCACCCACAGCCAAUCCCAGUGGGGCCCCGGCCCAGUCUUUCCUUGAGGUUCUCUUCUGCUGGGGCCUCAGUGGAGCUGUUUAAACAGUUCCUUUGGGGGGAAGGUCAGCGGCACUGCAGUCAUUUAAUAUAUUGAUUUUUAUUUUUGUGUUCUGCUGUUUGCCUCCUGGAAACUGACUUGAAGUUUCUUCCCAUUCUUCCCUCCCCUCCUGGCACGGAGGUGGGGUGGGGUGGGGUGGGGGUGGGGGCCUUCCCUCUGCUUGCUCUGCAGAUGAGGGGAUAGCCUUCUCUAUCCUUUGCAGCUCUGACAAUUGCCCCGGACCUGCCCAUGCCGGCAUACCUUCUAGGAUAGACCAGGUCUCUAGGCCGCCUAAUGCCGCAGUGCCUUUCUCCAUCCUGAGGCCUGAUAUCAUGCCGGGCAGCCUUAUACUAGCCAUGCCCGCAGCCCACUUGUGUCUUCUACUCCUGGGCCUGGUGCCCACAGCCCCUGAAGGUCAGAGCAUUCACCCCAACGGCCCAGUACCAGGGAGCUUGGUGGACUGCCCACUAGGUAGGCUUUGAGUAGUAAGGGUACCAGGUCCUUUGCCUAACCCCCCAGCCAGUUAUGUUUCCACCCCCAAGGGGCUAGGGAACAUCUUCAGCUUCUUUUCCUUUAGUUGUUCCAGAAACAGCCUUAAAACCAGCCUGGGACAAAGGCCCUCCCUUUUCAAUUAGCGUGAGGAGGCAGUGACUCCUUGCUUCUCCCCUUGGUGCUGUGGACUCAGCUGCUGGGAUGAGGUGAAGUCAGUGUCUAGCGCCCCCUACUGGAACAACUCUGAAUUUAUAGAACUGGGCCAUGAGAGGGGCCAGCUCCGUUCCUCCCCCGGCUUCCCCUGCCCUUAAACUGGUCCACACUUACUCUAUUGCUUCACUGGUCUUAUGCAUCCUGGUCUCAUUCCGGGAUCCAUGAGCCUCAGCCCCAUUCAGAGGCCGUGGUGACUUGUGGAGAGCUAGCAUAGCGCCACUGUACUUAGCUCUUCUCCCUCUAGGGCGAGUACGUUGGUGCCUGUCCAUGAGGCCCUAGGAUGGGAGAGUUAGGAACUGAUAAGGUCAGACCCUCUCUGAACCUUCCCAGAGCUGUGUCUGAAGCUGAAACUAAGAAGAUUGUCCCGCUUAUUGGUGGCUCCAGCCAGACACGGUGUUAAGUCUGGGUAAGUGGAUAUUUAGAACGGAGCACCGGAAAAGCAGAUCACCUGGAACCUGGACCGUCUGUCUGCAAAGACCAGAAAUCCUCCUUCCCCUGCUCAUCCUGGGAGUGUUAAGGAACAUCCUUAGCACUCAGAAGUGACCACAUCUUCUCCUUCACCCAUCUCCACCUAAAUGGAAAGCCCGGACCUUACACCCUGUAAGAAAACCCAGAACCCGUCUGCAUGGCUGUUUACAAACUACAGAAACACGUGAGACUUUGUCCCGACCCCUCAGGCUGGGCCGCCCCAGCCCGGGGUGCCUGUACUGUAUGUAUAGCUGCAAGGCCAGUUCUUGCACAAAGUGUGUGUGGUCUUACAGCCCCCGCGAGAGGUGCUCACCGGCAUUACCCCUUCUGCCAUUUCUGAUGGGUCACUACCUCAUGGCGGGGCUGCUAUGCUGUCCCAGCGAGUGUCAUUGACUAAACUUGAAAUCGGAGCUCUGAGCUCAUCGUCCUGAGCCAUUCUGAGCUGUGUUCUGGGAACGUUGGAGUCCCUGCUCACCCACCCUUUCGGGGAUGUCCAAGGUACAUAGUCAGGGGCAGGACCCCAGCUCCACUCAUUGCACAAGCAUCCUUCUUGUCGGAAGCACAAACUGGUUGUAAUUUGAGCACAAUAGCAGGUCUCUGGGUAGACAGUAUGAGCAAACUUGGCACCAGGAGAUCUUUCCCAGAUGGGCUUCGUCUUAGGUUAGACCAGGGCUGCCCGUGUCUGUGAGGUUAGACCAAGGCUGCCCAUGUCUUUGGCUGACGCACUAUGUACACUGGGAACUAUUAAUUUACUCCUUGUGCCCCUCCUAGGACUUGAGGCCCAGGCCACAUCUGUAUCCUGUGGGGGUCCUCUCUAGACCUGCACACCCCAAGCCUUUAACAACCAGAGUAUAGCUGGUACCUGACCCUACUGAGCCUGAAGAGCCUGGACCCAGACUCCCAUCUCUUGAGCUAACCCCGACAUCCUUGCUUCCGAUAUUGAUUAGCUUCCAUGGAAAGUGUCUACUGUCCCCACUCUCUUAGGUCUUUUCUGUGCACAGUCCUGGGCCAGGACCCAUCCCAGUAUUAACCAGUUCAGUGUUUGGUCUUGUUGGUGAGACUUGGUCCGACAGCAGCCAACUCAAUGCACAUGCUGCCUGGAGCAGCCUUUAGAGACUGCAGAGGAAAGAGAGAGAACUCGAAGAAUGAGAGGCUGACCCAGCGCAGCCCUUGAUGUGGUCAGAGUGCCACCACAGCUACUUGAAAAGGGACAGCUAUGGACCUGGGAGUAGCCUCCCACCGUUGCUCCAGCUGCAGGCCUGGAAUGGUCUUAGGCUGUGUGGCUUGGGCAAAGGGCAGCUUAAAGCACAAACAAGGAGAAGAUGCUGUCUUGCUGAAGGAUUCUUCUGCUAGCCAUUGUGGUGGUGGCGCCAGCAGGAAGCUGCUGAGAAGGCAGGACAUUACAUCUCUGCCCUGCCCUCUCCCAGUUCCUGGAGGCCUCCCUUGGAGUCUGGGCUGGGUGCAGCAGGCACACCCCCUUGGCUGUGCCUGGUAUGUUUGUGUGGGCAGGACUUGCCCUGCAGGAGCGGUGAAUUCCUUCCCACCAUGUAGCCCAAACCUGCCACAUCUAUCCCUUUGUCCUUUCAAAUAAAAAACUGCUUACUGCUGCUCUCUUUGCUGAGCACAGUGGCCAGUUCCCCAACAGACCUUCUUGAGCCCAGCCCUUUCACCUCCUGACUCCCAGGUCUUCACUGCUCCUUGUGAGCAAGAGAAUCUACAGGGAGAGUUCGGUUUCUUUGACAUCAUUGUUCUGUCCCCGGUGCCCCCCACCCACUUCAUCUCCAGCACCCAGCUGGCCUCCCUCAUCCCUGUCCCUUCCACCUUCACUUCUGUGUCCUAAAGGCUUUGUCAGAAAGUGGGAAGUCGGUACUGCCGAGAGUCAGAAAAGACCUCUGAUGUCUUGGUGCCCUGCCCUGCCCUGGCCUGCCCUGCCCUGUCACCAGCUCUUAUGAUGGUUGUCCCUACCCAGACUGCAGGGUCUCGUUUGGCUCAUGCACUCUCCUGUGACGUAGUAGCACAAGGUGUGUAUAUGUUUUGUACCUCUGCUGACAACUGUACAUAGUGUAUGAAAGUUAUUUAAGCCUCAUGCUGUACAUUUCUGUUCUGGAAAUCGGAUGUGUGUGUUCUAAGAGCUUGUCAUAAAUAAAACCAUUGUCCACAGA